GUCUUAUUGUUAUAAAUUUUAAGUUUGACCUGCCCAUUGAUUUAUAUUUAACGGCCGCAGUAAUUUGACUGUGCUAAGGUAGCAUAAUCAUUAGUUUUUUAAUUGAAAACUGGAAUGAAAGGUUGAAUGAAAAAAAUACUGUCUCUUUUUAAUUUAUUGAAUUUUUCUUUUGAGUUAAAAGUCUUAAAUUUUAUUAAAAGACGAGAAGACCCUUUAGAGUUUUAUAAAUAAUUAAAAUUAUUUUAUUGGGAUAUAUUUUAUGUUUUAUUUUUUUAUUUCGUUGGGGUGAUUAUUAAAUUUAUUAAACUUUAAUUUUUUAUUACAUAGAUUUUUGAAUUUUUUGAUCCGUUAAUAUUGAUUAUUAGAUUAAAUUACCUAAGGGAUAACAGCGUGAUUUUUUUAGAGAGUUCAAAUCGAUAAAAGAGAUUGCGACCUCGAUGUUGGAUUAAAAUUAAAAAUUGGUGUAGAUGCUAAUUAU
Molecule: ribosomal RNA, 478 nt
Filed under: Parascela cribrata
Lineage: Eukaryota; Metazoa; Arthropoda; Insecta; Coleoptera; Chrysomelidae
Description: partial 16S ribosomal RNA
Source: RNAcentral